UGGGGAAUAUUGCGCAAUUGGCGAAAGCCUGACGCAGCGACGCCGCGUGAGGGAUGAAGGUUUUCGGAACGUAAACCUCUGUCAGAAGGGAAGAAACCGCACUGUGCUAAUCAGCAGUGCCUUGACGGUACCUUCAAAGGAAGCACCGGCUAACUCCGUGCCAGCAGCCGCGGUAAUACGGAGGGUGCAAGCGUUAAUCGGAAUUACUGGGCGUAAAGCGCACGUAGGCUGCUUUGUAAGUCAGGGGUGAAAUCCCACGGCUCAACCGUGGAACUGCCUUUGAUACUGCUUAGCUUGAAUCCGGGAGAGGGUGGCGGAAUUCCAGGUGUAGGAGUGAAAUCCGUAGAUAUCUGGAGGAUCAUCAGUGGCGAAGGCGGCCACCUGGACCGGUAUUGACGCUGAGGUGCGAAAGCGUGGGGAGCAAACAGG
RNAcentral lists this ribosomal RNA (429 nucleotides) under Fusobacteriota bacterium. Its description in RNAcentral is "Fusobacteria bacterium partial 16S ribosomal RNA". It matches the Rfam family "Bacterial small subunit ribosomal RNA", at positions 355 to 776 of the family's 1533-position model. Lineage: Bacteria; Fusobacteriati; Fusobacteriota. The record is from RNAcentral.